RNAcentral lists this ribosomal RNA (252 nucleotides) under uncultured bacterium. Its description in RNAcentral is "partial 16S ribosomal RNA". It matches the Rfam family "Bacterial small subunit ribosomal RNA", at positions 524 to 776 of the family's 1533-position model. The record is from RNAcentral.
UACGGAGGGGGCUAGCGUUGUUCGGAAUUACUGGGCGUAAAGCGCACGUAGGCGGCUUUGUAAGUUAGAGGUGAAAGCCCAGGGCUUAACCCUGGAAUUGCCUUAAGACUGCAUCGCUCGAAUUGUGGAGAGGUGAGUGGAAUUCCGAGUGUAGAGGUGAAAUUCGUAGAUAUUCGGAAGAACACCAGUGGCGAAGGCGACUCACUGGACACAUAUUGACGCUGAGGUGCGAAAGCGUGGGGAGCAAACAGG